CCGUCCCCUCGCCCCCAGCCUAGCAGGUUCGGUGGGUCGCCCAGGUCGUUAACUCCCAGACCCGUUAGAACCGGUCAGGAGAGGAAUGCACUGCUCGAUCCUGAUUGGCGGCGGGAAGCGGGUUUGAAAAAUGGCGGGCCUGACGCUGACUGGCUGGGGCAGUAAACUGGGGGGAGCGGUUGGCCCGAAAGGGAAAGCCCCGCCAGAUUUAAAAAUACCGAGUCGCGAGCUUGGGGGUUGUUGCCGAGGGCUGGCGGCGGCGACUCGCUUUGCGGCCGCUGAGGGAACUAGCAGCCUGCCCUGCCCCGGCUCCGACCGCUUUCCCGGGCCAGAGCGCCUCUGCCCCGGCCGAAGGGUAACUGGGGACAGACGGGGGCGCUCGCCCUGCGGACUAGUGGCCCAGCGCCGCCCGUGGUGGCUGAGGUCGGAGUGCAACUCCGGGAAGACGAGCGCUGGCGGGGCACCUGGGCCAGGGCGCGGGAGGACAGCUGCGCCCGCCUCCCGAGGGGUGUUGCAAACCCACCUACAAACUUGCUGGCUGGUGUUUGUUGGGCCUGCGUUGCUCCAGCUUCGUGUGUGAUCAGUAACCCUACUCAAUAGAACCUCGGAACCAGCAACGGUUAGCCCAGGUUUCCUAAAGAAAAAGCAUGUUCUUUAACAUGUGUUUUCCCGGGAAACACCUAUUAGUGGCACAGGAUGCAUGCAUUUACUGUUUCUGAAUUAAAAAAUAAAUUUGAAAAAUGUAAUGCACUAGUGAUCUGUUUAUUGCUACUUAAUGUAGUAUGAUUUAGUGACUACAUUUUAGUCCGUUUGAAUUGGUGCGUGCUUUUAUAGCACAUUUGGAACUGGCCCUCUUGGAGAAUAAGUUCAUGGCAGAUGUAAUGAAUUAAGAUGAGGUCAUACUGAAGCUGGGUGGGUCCCUCAUCUAAUAUCACUGGUGUCCUUAUAAAUAGGGAAGAAUUGAGCACAGAUACAGCCAUAGAGGUAAGGUUAUGUGAAAAGACACAGCGAGAAGGUGGCCAUCGACAAGCUAAAGAGAAAGGCCUGGGUUAGAUCCUUCCCGUACAGCCUGCAGGGGAAAAGCUCUCAAGAAUUAAGGCAAAUUACAGAUGUUUUCAGAAAAACAAAAGCUGAGAGAAGUUAUUGCUUAAUGAAAAUGGUCCUAAAUCCUAAGAAAGAGGAAAAGAACACAGGAAAUGUCGAAUAGAAGUGAGUUAUUGGAAAAGCUAAGGAACAUAAGUGAAGAGUGCUCCGAUAUUAUUCUUUCACAAUGCAGUCCUUUUGACUGCUUUUGGGCAAUAUAGGUAUGUACUAAAUUUCAGUAUUUCUAGUGUUAACAAUGAAAGCCAAAAAAUACAGUAUGACUCCGAAAAUAAAGGAAUCAUUUGAGCGGAAGUGAGUACAACUUACCUAUUUU
Molecule: long non-coding RNA, 1417 nt
Organism: Myotis myotis
Lineage: Eukaryota; Metazoa; Chordata; Mammalia; Chiroptera; Vespertilionidae
Exons: 4
Source: RefSeq, a predicted model, not a curated record